Molecule: long non-coding RNA, 1982 nt
Filed under: Equus asinus (donkey)
Lineage: Eukaryota; Metazoa; Chordata; Mammalia; Perissodactyla; Equidae
Description: lncRNA (ENSEASG00005025347.1)
Source: RNAcentral
AGUAUAUCAGAAAGUUUGAAAGAUGGAAAAUGGGCAGGAUUUGGUGGAUGAAGAAAGCUGCAGCUUGAGACAUGCUCAGCUCUGCCAACCACCAAUGUGUUCUCUGUUUCUGUGAGUUCGCAUUUUUUAGAUUCCACAUAUAAGUGAGAUUAUGCAUUAUUUUUCUUUAUCUAACUUCUUUCACCUAGCAUAAUGCCCUCAAGGCUCAUCCGUGUUGUUGCAAAUGGCAGUAUUUCCUUUUUUGUGGUUGAAUAAUACACCACAUUUUCUUCAUCCAUUCAUCCAUCAGUGGACACUUAGGUUGUUUCCAUGUCUUGGCUAUGGUAAAUGAUGCUGCAGUGAACAUAGGGGUGCAGGUAGCUUUUUGAGAUAAUGAUUUUGUUUCAUUUGGAUAUAUUCCAAGAAGUGGAAGUGCUAGAUCAUAUCAUUGCUAUUUUUAAGUUUUUGCAGAAGUGAAAUAGUUUACCAAAGAAAUAUAAUUGUAUAUCAAUUGUUUAUUUAAAGAAAAAGCAGUAGAAAGAAAAGGAGAGAAUUCCCAUAACUAAUUUAAUUUUUGUGUGUGUGUGAGAAACAUUUGCCCUAAGCUAACAUCUGUUGCCAAUCCUCUUUUUUUUUCGGUUGAGGAAGAUUAUGCCUGAGCUAACAUCUGUACCAGUAUUCUUCUACUUUGUGUAUGGGAUGCCUCCACAGCAUGGCUGAUGAGUAGGUCCACACCUGGGCUCUGAAUAUGUGAACCCAGGCAGCCAAAGUGGAGCAUGUGGAACUUUAACCAGUGGGCCAUGGGGCUAGCCCCCUAACUAAUUUAAUUUUAAUAAAUGGAAGUAUUGAUGUUAAUAGCACCUAUUUGUGUUUGCAGGUGCCUGUGUGUGUGUAUACAUAUAUUAUCAAAGGGCUUUAGAUGCUCAUCAUCAUGGUGGCAUUUUUUUCCUAAUUCUUAAUGUGCAUAGGAAUCAAUGUGAAUAUUUUCCUGUAAUAUGGAUACUUUAAUAGUCUAGUGUAUUAAUUUUCUCCAUUCUGUUUCAUUUUUGAAAAACAUAAGUAAUUUACCCAUAUUGGUAACUUACCUGAGAGAUCAAAUGCCCCUCUAUAGAAUAAAAAUAUGGAAAACAGCAUAUGAAUUGAGUGGUCCAUCCUAAUGACAGAAUCUCUUUAUAUAUUCCUCCACUCCUAUUUUCCUGUCAUAUUCACCAUUUUUUUUUGCUGAGGAGGAUCUACCCUGAGGUAACAUCUGUGCCAGUCUUCCUCUCUUCUGUAUUUGGGUUGGCACCACAGCAUGGCCACUGAUGAGCGGUGUAGGUCUGCGCCCGAGAAUCGAACAUGGGCCACUGAAGCAGAACACACCUAACUUAACCACUAGGCCAGCCCCUGUGUGCACUGCUUAAUUUCCCUGCAUGCUAAGCCUUAAAGCCCAUCUUGUAUGACAUUUUUGAGGGCCUGCCAUUCAUUUGGAAUAUGGAGUGGUCACUUCAGCAGAUCUCUUCAAGUUGCAGGAAAGCCAAAUAAAAUUUUGAGCCACCAUUGAGAGUCCGUCUCAGUAAAUACCUCUCUUUGACUAGAUGUUGACUGUUUUGGAAAAUUAAAGUGUUUAGGACUUCGUGAAAGCAGGCUUUGUCAGAUAGCACUGUUUGUCUGUGGUUUUUUGGAAUAGCAAGCUACAGAUUUCUUUUAGAAUAACUCUUUAUUAAGAAAAAGCCAUUGGGGAGAAAGAGGGGGGAAAUGUAUAAAGAUCUUUAAUGAAAGCAGUGAAUUUUGGAUUAAAUUUGAAGAGAAAUACAUUAAGAAAUAAGUAAGGAAAAGACUAGAAAACAGUACAUGUAGACACACUUUAAAAAUGCCUCGUGCUAUAUAGGUAAAUUAUCCUAAAGAAAGGAAUUAUAAAAAUUGGAAAGAUGCUGGGGACGUGAGGACUUGAUAGAUCUUAAAUCUUCCUGGCAGGUGUUUUAAAAAAAAUUUUACGAUUGACUUUAUAUUUUUAUUUCAUU